Molecule: long non-coding RNA, 326 nt
Filed under: Gossypium barbadense (sea-island cotton)
Lineage: Eukaryota; Viridiplantae; Streptophyta; Magnoliopsida; Malvales; Malvaceae
Description: long non-coding RNA (GBAR_LNC008830)
Source: RNAcentral
CUCUAUCUUCUAAGAUUAGUUAUCAAAUCAGUCUAAGUUGUCAUAUCUUCGCUAUCGAGCCAACCAGGCUUCAAUCUGACAGGCUUCUCUAACAGUUUCUUGAAUCGGGCCAAUUCUCGUGGGCUAAAUGAUCCCCAUCUAAGCAAUAAAUCUCCAUCGAAUGCAUUUAGUUGGCUUUGAACUCUGACCCGUGACACUAGCACAACCUUGACAGUUCUAAAUGAAAACUGACAAAUUCAUAGAUAAAUAAAGAAAAUAAUAUAAGACUAACCUUUCACAUUCCGGGCAAACCCAAAUCCUUUAACUGUGGUUCCUCUAAAUCCAAA